This 406-nucleotide ribosomal RNA is filed under the name uncultured bacterium. Its description in RNAcentral is "partial 16S ribosomal RNA". It matches the Rfam family "Bacterial small subunit ribosomal RNA", at positions 30 to 526 of the family's 1533-position model. The record is from RNAcentral.
AUUGAACGCUGGCGGCAGGCCUAACACAUGCAAGUCGAACGAGUGGCGGACGGGUGAGUAAUGUCUGGGAAACUGCCUGAUGGAGGGGGAUAACUACUGGAAACGGUAGCUAAUCCCGCAUACCAUCGGAUGUGCCCAGUUGGGAUUAGCUCGUAGGUGGGUUAACUGCCCACCGAGGCGACGAUCCCUAGCUGGUCUGAGAGGAUGACCAGCCAAACUGGAACUGAGACACGGGCCAGACUCCUACGGGAGGCAGCAGUGGGGAAUAUUGCACAAUGGGCGCAAGCCUUAUGCAGCCAUGCCGAGUGUAUGAAUAAGGCCUUCGGGUUGUAAAGUACUUUCAGCGGGGAGGCGUUACCCGCAGAAGAAGCACCGGCUAACUCCGUGCCAGCAGCCGCGGUAAUAC